Non-coding RNA from Ictidomys tridecemlineatus (thirteen-lined ground squirrel), 1032 nucleotides. The record is from RefSeq and is a predicted model, not a curated record. Lineage: Eukaryota; Metazoa; Chordata; Mammalia; Rodentia; Sciuridae.
UAGGUGGGUUGACAGACACUUCGUGCUUCCCCUGGACCAGCUCCAGAGCAUGGUGAUGCAAUAAGCAUCCCGGAGGCUUAGCUGUCACUUGUCACCUUUCAGGUUACGGGGCAGAUUUUAGAAGCUGUUUCUCCUUGCUCGGUGCUUUUCCUGCUUCAGGUGAGGAGGCUGGUUUGAGAAAAACAGAAGUGAUGUGGCUGCCCCCUCUCCCUCUCAGCCCUGUCUGCGCUCUUCCCUGCAUGGUCUAUGGAGAGCCUCCUGCUGAGUGUCCUUGCUCUGCCUUGGCCCACUGACACCCAGCUGUUGCUGUCUCUGCCAGGAAGAAGUCCCAGCACAGAACAUGAAGAGGGACAAUUGAUGCAGCUUCUGCUCUAUGAAGGUGGAUUCUUUGGGACCCAGAUGAGGGGAACCUCCCCAAUCCAGUCGUUUGAAGGAAGUGACAUGGAGAUAGCUUCAUGGUGGUAGGGGACAUACAGACAUGAACAGUGGGAGCAUAAAGUUAAGGGAAGCAUUCUAUAAAAUGGGUGCUGAUUCCCAAUUUACCUGCAGCUCUGACUGGCUUAAGAUGAUAGGAUAUGUCACAUUCCUCAGCAAACUACCUGUUAUCUUCAGGUGAAAUGCAGGCCCCGAAAUGCUGAUAGAAAGAACAUGAUUUAUUCUAAAGGUAGGGGGUGAAUUUUUGUGACCCUUACACAGACCAGAUCCCAGAACUCAGGGAGAUAAAGAUAAGUGCCUCCAACCACAAAUUCUGUAAGAACAGGUUCCAAUUAAAACCAGUCAACAUGGGCCAAAGGGACCUAGAAUUAUCAUGGCAGUCAGGACUUGAAAGUCUGAUGUCACUCUGCUGUCAGUCAAAACUCAAGAAGGGGACCUGGGAAGACACUCUGGAAACUUCUCUGGGACCCCUGAUAAAACUGGAAAGCAAGAGAGGCGUGCUGUCCCUCUCUUCGUGAGAAGGCCCCACUCUCUACUUUGAGAAUGUCCCUCUUUCCUCUUUUCUAUCCCUUCAAAUAAACUCAUGCCUGUUACUGA